This 100-nucleotide microRNA precursor is filed under the name Triticum aestivum (bread wheat). RNAcentral describes it as "MIR9772 microRNA precursor family". It matches the Rfam family "MIR9772 microRNA precursor family". Lineage: Eukaryota; Viridiplantae; Streptophyta; Magnoliopsida; Poales; Poaceae. The record is from Rfam by way of RNAcentral.
UGGCGGCCGUUGAGACGAGAUCUCCCCAUAGGCCCAUACCACAUAGCGGCAGCUCGGCUCCGUGCACGCGUAUGGGGAGAUCUCGCCUCAACAGCCGCUC